This 440-nucleotide ribosomal RNA is filed under the name uncultured bacterium. RNAcentral describes it as "partial 16S ribosomal RNA". It matches the Rfam family "Bacterial small subunit ribosomal RNA", at positions 338 to 795 of the family's 1533-position model. The record is from RNAcentral.
CCUACGGGUGGCAGCAGUGGGGAAUAUUGCACAAUGGGGGAAACCCUGAUGCAGCGACGCCGCGUGAGUGAAGAAGUAAUUCGUUAUGUAAAGCUCUAUCAGCAGGGAAGAAAAUGACGGUACCUGAGUAAGAAGCCCCGGCCAACUACGUGCCAGCAGCCGCGGUAAUACGUAGGUGGCAAGCGUUAUCCGGAUUUACUGGGUGUAAAGGGCGUGUAGGCGGUGGUGCAAGUCAGAUGUGAAAGCUAUGGGCUCAACCCGUAGCCUGCAUUUGAAACUGGACUUCUUGAGUGCUGGAGAGGAGAGCGGAAUUCCAUGUGUAGCGGUGAAAUGCGUAGAUAUACGGAGGAACACCAGUGGCGAAGGCGGAUUGCUGGACAGUAACUGACGCUGAGGCGCGAAAGCGUGGGGAGCAAACAGGAUUAGAUACCCGAGUAGUC